RNAcentral lists this ribosomal RNA (429 nucleotides) under bacterium. Its description in RNAcentral is "partial 16S ribosomal RNA". It matches the Rfam family "Bacterial small subunit ribosomal RNA", at positions 355 to 776 of the family's 1533-position model. The record is from RNAcentral.
UGGGGAAUCUUCCGCAAUGGACGAAAGUCUGACGGAGCAACGCCGCGUGAGUGAAGACGGCCUUCGGGUUGUAAAGCUCUGUUAUUCGGGAAGAACGAUUCGUUUGUGAACAAUGAACGGAAGUGACGGUACCGAAAGAGAAAGCCACGGCUAACUACGUGCCAGCAGCCGCGGUAAUACGUAGGUGGCAAGCGUUGUCCGGAAUUAUUGGGCGUAAAGAGCGCGUAGGCGGUAUGAUAAGUCUGUCUUAGAAGUGCGGGGCUUAACCCCGUGGUGAGACAGAGACUGUCAGACUAGAGUCUCGGAGAGGAAGGCGGAAUUCCUAGUGUAGCGGUGAAAUGCGUAGAGAUUAGGAAGAACACCGGUGGCGAAGGCGGCUUUCUGGACGAGCACUGACGCUGAGGCGCGAAAGCGUGGGGAGCGAACAGG